UAGGGAAUCUUCGGCAAUGGACGAAAGUCUUACCGAGCAACGCCGCGUGAGUGAAGAAGGUUUUCGGAUCGUAAAACUCUGUUGUUAGAGAAGAACAAGGACGUUAGUAACUGAACGUCCCCUGACGGUAUCUAACCAGAAAGCCACGGCUAACUACGUGCCAGCAGCCGCGGUAAUACGUAGGUGGCAAGCGUUGUCCGGAUUUAUUGGGCGUAAAGCGAGCGCAGGCGGUUUCUUAAGUCUGAUGUGAAAGCCCCCGGCUCAACCGGGGAGGGUAAUUGGAAACUGGGAGAAUUGAGUGCAGAAGAGGAGAGUGGAAUUCAAUGUGUAGCGGUGAAAUGCGUAGAUAUAUGGAGGAACACCAGUGGCGAAGGCGGCUCUCUGGUCUGUAACUGACGCUGAGGCUCGAAAGCGUGGGGAGCAAACAGG
RNAcentral lists this ribosomal RNA (429 nucleotides) under Gemmatimonadota bacterium. Its description in RNAcentral is "Gemmatimonadetes bacterium partial 16S ribosomal RNA". It matches the Rfam family "Bacterial small subunit ribosomal RNA", at positions 355 to 776 of the family's 1533-position model. Lineage: Bacteria; Pseudomonadati; Gemmatimonadota. The record is from RNAcentral.